CGUUGGUUGUAGCUGGCUCUUAGGAGCAUUUUGUGCACGCCCGUCAUUCAUAUCAUCUUUCCACCUGUGAACUAUGUGUAGGCCUGGAUACCCCUCGCUUUGGCAACAAAGCGGAUGCAAGGAUUGCUGCGUCAACAAGGCCGGCUCUCUUUGAAUUUCCAGGUUCUAUGUCUUUUACACACCCCAAUUGAAUGAUGUAGAAUGUAGUCAAUGGGCUUUCAUGCCUAUAAAACACUAUACAACUUUCAGCAACGGAUCUCUUGGCUCUCGCAUCGAUGAAGAACGCAGCGAAAUGCGAUAAGUAAUGUGAAUUGCAGAAUUCAGUGAAUCAUCGAAUCUUUGAACGCACCUUGCGCUCCUUGGUAUUCCGAGGAGCAUGCCUGUUUGAGUGUCAUUAAAUUCUCAACCUCACCCGUUUUGUAACGAGACCGGUGAAGGCUUGGAUGUGGGGGUUUUGCAGGCUGCCUCAGUGCUGGUCUGCUCCCCUGAAAUGCAUUAGCGAGCUCAUACUGAGCUUCCGUCUAUUGGUGUGAUAAUUAUCUACGCCGUGGAUUGGACUCGUGCUUGCUUCUAACCGUCCGCAAGGACAAUUUACUUGACCAAUUUGACCUCAAAUCAGGUAGGACUACCCGCUGAACUUAAGCAUAUCAAUAAGCGGAGGAAAAGAAACUAACAAGGAUUCCCCUAGUAACUGCGAGUGAAGCGGGAAAAGCUCAAAUUUAAAAUCUGGUGGUCUCUGCCAUCCGAGUUGUAAUCUAGAGAAGUGUUACCCGCGUCGGACCGUGUAUAAGUCUCCUGGAAU
This 802-nucleotide ribosomal RNA is filed under the name fungal sp. MS578. RNAcentral describes it as "eukaryotic LSU rRNA". The stretch from base 241 to 394 matches the Rfam family "5.8S ribosomal RNA". Lineage: Eukaryota; Fungi. The record is from RNAcentral.